UAUAUAUUCUACAAGGAGUCAUGGUCAAGAUUUCAGCAAGAAGCAAUAUUAUCGUCACUCCCUGACAAACCAUUCCAUAAUUGUAUCAUACCCAGUACUGGAAGACACAGAAAUAAGGAAGACCCUCUCCUCAGAGAGGUCUACUGGGGCAAGGAGGAGAUAAGAUAAGGAGAACAAACAACUAUUGCCAUCAGAAAUGAAGGAGAUAGUUGCAGAGAAAACUGGGAAGAUUUGUAUGAAUUGAUGCAAAAUGAAUCUUGUUUUAAUAGAUGGAGCCAUACCACUCAUCAAUUUUCAAACCAAGUACUGAAAACUUUCCCAAAUACCAAGAUAUAACAGAAGAAGCCAAAGUCAUGUGGGAACAAGAUGAACUGGACAUCAGCCCUUUCAAACUCUCUGCUAACUGUCCCAAGGACACUUUUGACACUGGUCCAGUCAUAUUCGCAAAGACUUUUCCCAUCAAUUACCUCAUCUUUGCCUUACGCACAUUUUGAUACUCAUCCAUCCCUGAGGAUGUCAGAGCUGGAAUCAGCAGAUAGAAAAGGAAAUUGAUGUACCGCAUAGAUCAACAACUCACUCAAGGUCAAAUGGCAUGUUUGGGGCUUGAAAUGGACUGAGGUUAAGCAUCUUUGUGCUAUAUCAUGUUGAGACUUGUCUCCCUAAAGGUCUUCUAGAACUCUGGCAAAACUAACACAGACUGAGGAGAAGAGACAUCUUCUUAACGAGCAGAAGUGCAAGAGAGUGGAAACCUUGCUAGAUAUGGAGUCAAGAGAUCUGAAUUCAAACACUACCUCUUAGGACCCACCUGUGUGACUUUGAAAAACUCAUUGUAGUUCAUUUGACUUCACCAAGACUCAGUUUCCUGAUUUGUCUUUUAAAAAGGAUACUAAUACUUGUUCAAUUUCCCUGAUGGGAUUGCUGUGAGGAAAAAUGCUUUGUAUGCCUUAAAGUACUGCAGAUAUAGGACUUAAAUUGUUUUUAAAUGUCAGUGGUGUCCUUGCAAUAAACAAUCCUAGUCCUAGAGAGUGGACA
Molecule: long non-coding RNA, 1032 nt
Filed under: Monodelphis domestica (gray short-tailed opossum)
Lineage: Eukaryota; Metazoa; Chordata; Mammalia; Didelphimorphia; Didelphidae
Description: lncRNA (ENSMODG00000032886.2)
Source: RNAcentral